Molecule: ribosomal RNA, 305 nt
Filed under: uncultured bacterium
Lineage: Bacteria
Description: bacterial SSU rRNA
Rfam family: Bacterial small subunit ribosomal RNA
Source: RNAcentral
GUUCUCCUACGGGGGGCAGCAGUAGGGAAUUUUCGUCAAUGGGCGCAAGCCUGAACGAGCAAUGCCGCGUGAACGAGGAAGGUCUUCGGAUCGUAAAGUUCUGUUGAAGGGGAAAAAGAGCGGAGAGAGGAAAUGGUCUCCGAUUGAUAUUACCCUUCGAGGAAGUCACGGCUAACUACGUGCCAGCAGCCGCGGUAAUACAUAGGGGGCAAGCGUUAUCCGGAAUUAUUGGGUGUAAAGGGUGCGUAGACGGAAGAACAAGUUGGUUGUGAAAUCCCUCGGCUCAACUGAGGAACUGCAACCAA